GGCUCCUUGAUAUCCACAAAUAAGGAGUCGGACCUGCCCAGUGAAUUUUUUUAACGGCCGCGGUACUCUGACCGUGCAAAGGUAGCAUAAUCAUUUGCCUUAUAAUUGAAGGCUUGUAUGAAUGGUUUGACAAGAAUGUAACUGUCUCUUUGCAACUGAUUAGAAUUUUAUUUAUGGGUGAAGAAGCCCAUAUCCCAAUGAUAGACAAGAAGACCCUAUCGAGCUUAAAAAAAGUUAGUAAGUCUUAUACUUAAUAUUAUAUAGAAAAUUAUUUACUAAAAAUUUUGGUUGGGGCGACAGAGGAACAAAUAAAACUUCCUUUAAUACAAAUAAUAACAAACAAGUAAUGAUCCAAAAAUUUUGAUUAAAGAAAUUAGUUACCGUAGGGAUAACAGCAUUAUCUUUUUUAAGAGCUCUAAUCGAAAAAAAGGUUUGUGACCUCGAUGUUGGACCAGAAUAUCCUAAAGAUGCAGCCGUCUUUAAAGGUUGGUCUGUUCGACCAUUAAAAUUCUACGUGAUCUGAGUUCAGACCGGCGUGAGCCAGGUCAGUUUCUAUCUUCAUUUUAUAAUAUAAACUUAGUACGAAAGGACCAGCUUAUAGUAAAAAAUUAUUUUUAGUGACGACGUAUAAAGAAAAUUUAAGUGAAUAAAGUUAUUAAAUCAAAAUACAGAUAUCAAAUUAGCAAAGAUAAUGCAAUUGACUUAGGAUCAAUAGACAUAGGUGAAACUCCUUUAUUUGAUACUGUAUUCAUUGGUGCAAAUAAAGAUGGCAGAUGAA
This 778-nucleotide ribosomal RNA is filed under the name Typhinellus labiatus. RNAcentral describes it as "partial 16S ribosomal RNA". The stretch from base 1 to 584 matches the Rfam family "Bacterial large subunit ribosomal RNA", at positions 1817 to 2925 of the family's 2925-position model. Lineage: Eukaryota; Metazoa; Mollusca; Gastropoda; Neogastropoda; Muricidae. The record is from RNAcentral.